GGGUUGUGAGGUUAAGCGACUAAGCGUACACGGUGGAUGCCCUGGCAGUCAGAGGCGAUGAAGGACGUGCUAAUCUGCGAUAAGCGUCGGUAAGGUGAUAUGAACCGUUAUAACCGGCGAUUUCCGAAUGGGGAAACCCAGUGUGAUUCGUCACACUAUCAUUAACUGAAUCCAUAGGUUAAUGAGGCGAACCGGGGGAACUGAAACAUCUAAGUACCCCGAGGAAAAGAAAUCAACCGAGAUUCCCCCAGUAGCGGCGAGCGAACGGGGAGCAGCCCAGAGCCUGAAUCAGUGUGUGUGUUAGUGGAAGCGUCUGGAAAGGCGUGCGAUACAGGGUGACAGCCCCGUACACAAAAAUGCACAUACUGUGAGCUCGAUGAGUAGGGCGGGACACGUGGUAUCCUGUCUGAAUAUGGGGGGACCAUCCUCCAAGGCUAAAUACUCCUGACUGACCGAUAGUGAACCAGUACCGUGAGGGAAAGGCGAAAAGAACCCCGGCGAGGGGAGUGAAAAAGAACCUGAAACCGUGUACGUACAAGCAGUGGGAGCACGCUUAGGCGUGUGACUGCGUACCUUUUGUAUAAUGGGUCAGCGACUUAUAUUCUGUAGCAAGGUUAACCGAAUAGGGGAGCCGAAGGGAAACCGAGUCUUAACUGGGCGUUAAGUUGCAGGGUAUAGACCCGAAACCCGGUGAUCUAGCCAUGGGCAGGUUGAAGGUUGGGUAACACUAACUGGAGGACCGAACCGACUAAUGUUGAAAAAUUAGCGGAUGACUUGUGGCUGGGGGUGAAAGGCCAAUCAAACCGGGAGAUAGCUGGUUCUCCCCGAAAGCUAUUUAGGUAGCGCCUCGUGAAUUCAUCUCCGGGGGUAGAGCACUGUUUCGGCAAGGGGGUCAUCCCGACUUACCAACCCGAUGCAAACUGCGAAUACCGGAGAAUGUUAUUACGGGAGACACACGGCGGGUGCUAA
RNAcentral lists this ribosomal RNA (969 nucleotides) under Shigella flexneri. RNAcentral describes it as "partial 23S ribosomal RNA". It matches the Rfam family "Bacterial large subunit ribosomal RNA", at positions 1 to 1001 of the family's 2925-position model. Lineage: Bacteria; Pseudomonadati; Pseudomonadota; Gammaproteobacteria; Enterobacterales; Enterobacteriaceae. The record is from RNAcentral.